UACGGGGGGGGCAAGCGUUGUUCGGAAUUACUGGGCGUAAAGGGCUCGUAGGCGGCCAACUAAGUCGGAUGUGGAAUCCCCAGGCUUAACCUGGGAACUGCAUCCGAUACUGGAUGGCUUGAAUCCGGGAGAGGGAUGCAGAAUUCCAGGUGUAGCGGUGAAAUGCGCAGAUAUCGGGAAGAACACCCGUGGCGAAGGCGGCUCUCUGGGACGGUACUGACGCUGAGACGCGAAAGCGUGGGGAGCGAACAGG
RNAcentral lists this ribosomal RNA (253 nucleotides) under uncultured bacterium. RNAcentral describes it as "partial 16S ribosomal RNA". It matches the Rfam family "Bacterial small subunit ribosomal RNA", at positions 524 to 776 of the family's 1533-position model. The record is from RNAcentral.